UACAUGUUCGGUGCAUAUCAUGGAUGUGUUUCUAUUUCAAACAAGAUGAUAAGUGAAACUCAAAUCUUCAUUCUCAUUCAUUCUGACCCUACCAAAAGCUGAUGUGGAUAAUUGUGGUUAGAGUAUUAGCAAAUACGGCUCUCUCAUUAAUUCUGACGAUUUAUCACUCCUAAAUUACGGCUCCCAGUCAGCCCAUUUCCCCUGAACACCACGUUUACUGUGUAACUGAAGAGCAAAAAGAAAAGAAAAAAAAAAGCUCGGAAUUUCAGAACUGAUCUUCAUCUUCACAACCCUACUCAUCUAAACUGAUCUCCAUUCUCACAACCCUGCUCAUCUAAUUUGGUUUCUAUUAUUGUUCUGCUUCAAGAAUCAUCGAUAACCGGAAACAGGCUUGUCCGGUGGAACAACCUGAGUAAUUUGGUUUCUAUUAUUCUGAGACUUCAACAAUCAGCAAUCACCAGAAACAGGGGUAUCAACAAAGAGAUACUCUUUGUUAGCUAGCGAAUGAAUUUUUAAUUUGAGGAACCAGAUGACUCUAGAAACUACAUUCAGGUUAGAAAAGGCAAGGAAGGCAAGAGAAUUUACUCCCCCAGACUGUUGAUAUAAAUACCACUAAUGCAUCAAAACCUUCUCGCAAAAGAGCAAUCAAUGAUCUGGAACCACCACAUUCUAUCAACAAUGAUAAGUUACAGCUACAACGCCAUGCUCGAUAACGGAGAAGAAUGAAAAUUGAUCACAUGAGGCAGAGAAAGAUUCAACUUGAUCGCUUACGCCAAACACAAACUCAAAGUGUUUGCGAUUCAGGUGUUGGUCCCGGAGCACGGGAAUGAGUGUCGAAUACAUGUUCAAGUACAUCUGCAAAGGGGAUGAUCAUGUUACUGCUGUUCUGGAAAAAACUAAUCCCCAGAAUAAUAAGGAAACUACAACCAAAAAGAAGAGAAGCAACAAGGGGCACGAAGAACUUACUGCUGUCGUUGAACAAACUCAAUCACCAAAUCAGCAUGUUGGUCAGAAUGGAAACAACGGACAGGAUUCUCAAAAGGGAAAGAAAAAGGUCAAGCCUAAAUUUGAUGAAGUGAACAACUAUUUGGAUUGUCGAUACAUAUCAGCUCCGGAGGGGAUAUGGAGAACGUUGGGUUAUGAAAUUCAAUAUCGCAAGCCAAUUGUGGAGAGACUUCCGUUUCAUCUCGAAGGUGAGCAAAACAUCUACUUCAAUGACAAAGAAAAUCUGGAAAAUGUCAUAGACAGAACGAAUUACCUACAAAAUUCCUUUGGUACAAUAAAAUAAAAAUGUGGAGGAAAAGGAACCAGUGGGUACAAAAUCGGGAGACUAUACUAUGCACAUCCAACUUCACAAGAGAGAUACUAUCUACGAAUGUUGUUGUACAUCGUCAAAGGAGCAUACACUUAUGAUGAAAUAAAAACUGUUAAGGGAAAGAUAUAUCCUACUUUCAAAGCGGCGUGUCUUGCACAUGGUCUGUUAGAAGAUGACAAAGAAUGGCAUCAUGGUCUAAGAGAAACAACAACAUUCACAUCAGGUAACCAAGUACGUGAAUUAUUAUUGGGAGUUGGGAGUAGAAUUAAACUACUUCGAAAUUUGGAUCCGCAAAUUGGCCUUUGCAAGGGAACACGGCUAAAUUUAACUCAUCUAGGCCAAACACUUAUUGAAGCAGAGAUCAUGGAAGGAGACUUCGGAGGAAGCCGCGUAUUACCAAGGAAAACAAUGACUCCAAAAAACUGCCAAUUUCUUUUUGAGAGAAAUCAGUUCCCAGUUAAAGAGUUCCCUUAAUGGUGCUAACAAAUUUAUACAAUCAUUAUCAUCAAAUUCACUUUUCUUUAAUCAGGAAAUAAAUGUAGUUAAUCAUAAUUUGCAGAAAAUAAAGACACAUCCUUAUGAUUUAUUUCUUUUAA
Molecule: long non-coding RNA, 1911 nt
Organism: Papaver somniferum (opium poppy)
Lineage: Eukaryota; Viridiplantae; Streptophyta; Magnoliopsida; Ranunculales; Papaveraceae
Exons: 5
Source: RefSeq, a predicted model, not a curated record